AUAGUCGACAUAAGAGCAUGAGACAGCAUCGUCGCAGCGCCGUGCAGUGGCCGACGAUUCUCGAACGUUCGAUGCCCGGGCCGCGUCGACUAUAUAAACGCAGCCGGUUGCCUCGAUACGGUGCAUUCGUAGAGAGACCUUCGUUGAGUUCAGACGCAGUCGACAUCCGAAGACCCCCCCCCCCCCAUAGAGGGACGAGUCGGAACCUUCACCGGCUUCUCAACCCUUCGCUUUUCUUUUUUUCGUGGUCGUCCAAGGCUACGGGACAAUAUCAGUCGUGAAAAUGUAGACGAGUCGGGCAUCGCUGCGGAGCGCGACAGUAUACCUGAACCCUACGGGGUCGGUGCUUGAACAAUCCGUACGCAACGAAAUCUGGUCCGAUUAGGCUUUGAAAUUCCGUCACAUUAUGAACAAGUUCGAGAAGAAUACCUCUGAAUAUAGCUCAGUGUCGUAAAAUUAGAUCGUGUGGGCACCCAUCUGUAAGAGCACGCAAUAGCCUAGCGGAAAGAAAAGAGAAGCCCACGGCAUUGGAAGGUUGGAAUUAAAAGUUGGAAAGAAAAGAGA
Vespula pensylvanica (western yellowjacket) is the source of this 564-nucleotide long non-coding RNA. RefSeq lists it as uncharacterized. The record is from RefSeq and is a predicted model, not a curated record. The transcript is spliced from 4 exons. Lineage: Eukaryota; Metazoa; Arthropoda; Insecta; Hymenoptera; Vespidae.